UCGGCGAGAGAGAGGAGAGAGACGCUGGCUCUGUGUGGACGGGGGUCCAGGGGGGUGUUCAACUCUCAGGUGAUUCAGAUGUUAGCGUUGGAAGGGAAAAACACUCAGUUAUGGUUCCUACUUUGGGAUCCACAGCUCUACGAAGGGAGUGUAAUGUCCACCGGGGCAGAGCAGCUGCUGCUGGUCUCAUCUGGGCUAUUUAUAAUCUCGACGGCCGCUCGGAGUACCCCUAAACACAAGACUCCUUGGAGAGCGCCGACACACCUGCCUGAACCUCAACCCUCGUUCGGACGCCUAACCCUCGUUAGGACCCAUAACUCUCGUUAGGACCCAAUACUCUUGGCAGGACACUGAACCAUCGUUAGAAAACACAACCCAGUUGGUCCUAGGACAGAUUGACACUGAAGAAGAAUUGCUAUUGAUUUGUACCCUGAUAUUCUGAUAUUCUUCUGGCUCAGUUGGAGAAGAUUGAUGUUCUAGAUAUUGUUUUGUAGUUUUGUGUUGUACGAGAGCUCACCAUUCCUCCAAACAAACCUCUUCCCCUCCAGCAUCCUUCAGACCGUAGCCUUUCAGGUUCUCCUCCCUUCCAGAUCUCCUCCACAGCGGAGCCACCAUCUGCAGGAACACAAGAAGACAAGAAGGUUGAGCCGGUGUAGGGAAGCAGCCCCUCAAUUCCAGGAGACGGAGGUGACCUACCUGGCAGUAGUGGAGGUGAAGAGCCCUGGGUUGAUGAGUCCUGGUUUGAAGAGUAGUAAUGCUGGAAUCUGAACCCUGGUGAUCUCAAUGCUGAUAGGCGUAUUUUACAUACUGCUACGUUACCGUGAGGGACUACGGAGCCCUCGGUUCCAUCCCCUUCUGGGGUCUCGACCUUAAACUACAAAGCAACACAUAACCCAAACAGCAGGGCAGUGCCACCACUAAUGGAACCACGCUACUACAACCACUGUUUCUGACUGGCGCAAACUGCUGCGAAUGAGAUCAUCUGGUCCCGUUAUAGCUGAUCAGAAAAGGUUGCUGGUGCCAGCUCUUGGGAUGACGCGCAGUGAUUGGUUAAGACUUGGAGCAGAAGAUGUUCUUCACUGCAUGGUGACAACACAGGACUACCAAACAAGGGGACCGUAAAACAUUUGUUUUUAAUCUCAAGAAUAAAACAAAAUACAUUGAAGAGAUAUUAUUGUUCUACAGUUCUUCAAAUAAAGGACAAUGUUGACCAACUUAAGAAGACAUGUAGUCAUGAAUUCAAAUCUUUACAUCAAGGAAUUCCAACUGCAUUUAGACAUUUCCUUGGCAUCUUCUCUUUUAGAGAA
Long non-coding RNA from Gadus macrocephalus (Pacific cod), 1307 nucleotides. RefSeq lists it as uncharacterized. The transcript has 2 exons. The record is from RefSeq and is a predicted model, not a curated record. NCBI's taxonomy places the organism in Eukaryota, Metazoa, Chordata, Actinopteri, Gadiformes, Gadidae.